Molecule: transfer RNA, 76 nt
Filed under: Gammaproteobacteria bacterium
Lineage: Bacteria; Pseudomonadati; Pseudomonadota; Gammaproteobacteria
Description: tRNA-Lys
Rfam family: tRNA
About the family: Transfer RNA (tRNA) molecules are approximately 80 nucleotides in length.
Source: RNAcentral
UCCUCCGUGGUGUAACGCGUAGCACAACAGACUUUUAAUCUGUUUGGUCAGGGUUCAAAUCCCUGCGGAGGGACCA